RNAcentral lists this ribosomal RNA (329 nucleotides) under Enterobacter ludwigii. Its description in RNAcentral is "partial 23S ribosomal RNA". It matches the Rfam family "Bacterial large subunit ribosomal RNA", at positions 1 to 367 of the family's 2925-position model. The record is from RNAcentral. Lineage: Bacteria; Pseudomonadati; Pseudomonadota; Gammaproteobacteria; Enterobacterales; Enterobacteriaceae.
GGUUAAGCGACUAAGCGUACACGGUGGAUGCCCUGGCAGUCAGAGGCGAUGAAGGACGUGCUAAUCUGCGAAAAGCGCCGGCGAGGUGAUAUGAACCUUUGACCCGGCGAUGUCCGAAUGGGGAAACCCAGUGUGAUUCGUCACACUAUCGUUAACUGAAUACAUAGGUUAACGAGGCGAACCGGGGGAACUGAAACAUCUAAGUACCCCGAGGAAAAGAAAUCAACCGAGAUUCCCCCAGUAGCGGCGAGCGAACGGGGAGCAGCCCAGAGUCUGAAUCAGCUUGUGUGUUAGUGGAAGCGUCUGGAAAGUCGCACGGUACAGGGUGA